This 139-nucleotide ribosomal RNA is filed under the name uncultured eukaryote. RNAcentral's name for it is "partial 18S ribosomal RNA". It matches the Rfam family "Eukaryotic small subunit ribosomal RNA", at positions 1299 to 1458 of the family's 1831-position model. The record is from RNAcentral.
UGGUGGAGUGAUUUGUCUGGUUAAUUCCGAUAACGAACGAGACCCCGUCCUACUUACUAGACGGAGGUUUCUUUUGACCUCCGAGUCUUCUUAGAGGGACAACUGGCGUUUAUCUAGCUACAUGAAAUGGGCAAUAACA